RNAcentral lists this long non-coding RNA (636 nucleotides) under Chinchilla lanigera (long-tailed chinchilla). RNAcentral's name for it is "lncRNA (ENSCLAG00000025778.1)". The record is from RNAcentral. Lineage: Eukaryota; Metazoa; Chordata; Mammalia; Rodentia; Chinchillidae.
UAGUUUCUUUUCCUACUCAGAAAAUUGAAUCUUGUGUGUGGUAGUUCAUCUCCUUACUCUUUCCCACUUUCAGUUUAUCACUACCAGGAGUUCCUGUACCGCAGAUUCCAGAGCAGAAUCAGAAAUGAACAGGAAAAUAUGCCAAAGAACAGGAGAAGGGGCAAGGAAAAUAAAUUGAGUCUCAUAAUGGAGAAUUUGGAAAAGGAGGAGAGAGAAAAGGAAAAAUAUGUUUUGUCCUCAAACUUUGUGGUGUUUGAACACGGAUUCAGAAUGAAUUGAGUUCAACAACGAGGUAUCACAAUACAGUGUAAAUGAUACCAAGCAGCCAAUGAAACUAGGUUAGAAACAGCCAUCAACUUCGUCUGGUUCUCUUGAAUCUCAUGCUUUGUGGACACCCAAGGAGCCCCUGCUGCAGAAUUAAAACACCAACUUCAGGACUGGCUGAGUUCCUUAGGACACCCAGCACGAGCAUCGCAGUCACGUGACAAAUCUUGAAGGUAGGUCUUCAAGCCCUACUCAAACAGUCCCAGGUAAUAUUUUGUGGAGAAGAGAGUAUCUGUUCCACUGAGCUCAAAGUUGAGGAUGUGUGAGAAGAAACAAAAUAAAACAAGUGAUCGCAUUUGUUUUCAGCCUCCA